CUCUCUGUAGCUCAGUUGGUUAGAGCACUGCACCGGGAUCGCUGGGCCGCAGGUUCGAUUCCUGCCAGAGGGC
This 73-nucleotide transfer RNA is filed under the name Paramuricea clavata. It matches the Rfam family "tRNA". From Rfam's summary of the family: Transfer RNA (tRNA) molecules are approximately 80 nucleotides in length. The record is from Rfam by way of RNAcentral. Lineage: Eukaryota; Metazoa; Cnidaria; Anthozoa; Malacalcyonacea; Plexauridae.